GCCGGGAUGGCGGAACUGGCAGACGCACAGGACUCAAAAUCCUGCGGGAGCAAUCCCAUGAGAGUUCGAGUCUCUCUCCCGGCACAA
This 87-nucleotide transfer RNA is filed under the name Candidatus Andersenbacteria bacterium CG10_big_fil_rev_8_21_14_0_10_54_11. Its description in RNAcentral is "tRNA-Leu". It matches the Rfam family "tRNA". From Rfam's summary of the family: Transfer RNA (tRNA) molecules are approximately 80 nucleotides in length. Their secondary structure includes four short double-helical elements and three loops (D, anti-codon, and T loops). Further hydrogen bonds mediate the characteristic L-shaped molecular structure. tRNAs have two regions of fundamental functional importance: the anti-codon, which is responsible for specific mRNA codon recognition, and the 3' end, to which the tRNAs corresponding amino acid is attached (by aminoacyl-tRNA synthetases). tRNAs cope with the degeneracy of the genetic code in two manners: having more than one tRNA (with a specific anti-codon) for a particular amino acid; and 'wobble' base-pairing, i.e. permitting non-standard base-pairing at the 3rd anti-codon position. The record is from RNAcentral. Lineage: Bacteria; Candidatus Anderseniibacteriota.